GCAACCAAACGGUUUUGUUUUUUUACGGCUUUUUACAUUUUUAGCCUUAAAACCCACUCGUUAGAGCAAAUGCAGUUCAGAUCCAUCUUAUAUUAUAUAUGUAUAUUGUUAUUGUUUUAUUUUAUAAUAUAUUGUGAUAAGGUUAAAUUUGGAAUAUGUUUGACAUGAAACUGGAAUUUCUUUAUUUGACAGUUAAAUCUAAUAUCUUAAGCUAUAGAAGAACUUAUCUA
Molecule: unclassified non-coding RNA, 230 nt
Filed under: Hevea brasiliensis (rubber tree)
Lineage: Eukaryota; Viridiplantae; Streptophyta; Magnoliopsida; Malpighiales; Euphorbiaceae
Source: RNAcentral